ACUCGUUAACGAGGCUGCGGCGCCAUCUCCUGGAACGGUUGCCUCAAAAACCAGAUUUAUCGGCAAGCAGGUAGUUUAGCCCUACAGCUGUGUAUCACAGCAGCACUCCUAGCUACUCGGCUAUAUUCUCAGUGCAUCCUGAAAGUGUCCUUCGGUGCCAUGAGGCAUAUAUUUUUAUUACGGGAGGUCGCACUCAUUGUUGUAGGUGUAUUAACACUGUUUGUGACCUACCCCGCUGAGCGGGACUGUACCCAGUAGUACCACACAUCACCACACGCAUUUCUAGAGUUGUCAGAUCUAUCCAUCCGACAGCUAUAUUUCUCUAUACAGCUACAGGGUUAAAUACUUCAGCUAUCUAAAAACAUUUCUUUCAGUAAAAUGUUUCCGGGCAUGAUAUUUGAGGCUGUUCCUUAAAAAGAGGUGAAACCACCGUUGUUUUUAUGAUCUAAUCAAUGUAAUAUAAUGAUCCCAGGGCCUCAGGUCUCCCUCAGGAGAAAUGGCAGUUUCUGUAGACACGGAAAUGUUAUCCCUAAAACUGUCAAAUGAGUAAUAGGAGGCUAAUACUGUGUACACAGUGCAGCAUCUUGCUUUUGAGCAGAAAAAUAACCUUCAGCACUGUGCUGUAUUUACCAAUAUACAAUAGCGUAUUUACUAACGGAGCCUGGCGGAAACGUCUGUAUUUUCCUUUAACAAAGGGCACUGAUGAGCAAUGAAGACAGACUUCACCAAGCAGGCUGUUCUUCAGCCACGCCAUCAACCAGCUGUAAGAAAGGAUUCAUCAAAGGUGCUCCUGACGCUCUUCUCAAGUACUGUGCUUUUAAUAACCCCAUUUCCACUGCUUCGUCAAAGAAAUAACCGGCCUCAAAACGGGGCACGUUAGCUCUGACAUCUUUUUAGUCAAACAUUAUUCUGCGUGCAGUCCUCAGACAUUUCCUAGGGCUUCUCUGUUGCUGUAACAUUCGCUUUGCCAGAAAUUAAUUCUGUUUUCAUUGCUAUAGGCUGAACUCUGGAUGAAACUACAGAAGAGUACGCAAGAUUUAAUCGAGGCAAGCAAGACUGGGUUUGCAGUGACAUAAAACAAACAAACAUUUGCAGUAGAAGAUGUCAAUGGUGGUGUACAAGCCUGAAGUACGUGUGUUUGAACAUUUCUCUGGUAAACAAAUAGUGCAGCAGCACACAGUGUUGUGACAUUUAAGACCAACUUUGUAAAAUAAAUACUUAAAUC
This is a long non-coding RNA of Gallus gallus (chicken), 1225 nucleotides long. Lineage: Eukaryota; Metazoa; Chordata; Aves; Galliformes; Phasianidae. The record is from Ensembl.